UACAGAGGUCCCAAGCGUUGUUCGGAUUCACUGGGCGUAAAGGGUGCGUAGGUGGUGAGGUAAGUCGGAUGUGAAAGCUCGGAGCUCAACUCCGAAAUGGCAUUGGAAACUACCUUGCUCGAGGGUUGGAGGGGGGACUGGAAUGCUUGGUGUAGCAGUGAAAUGCGUAGAUAUCAAGCGGAACACCAGUGGCGAAGGCGAGUCCCUGGACGACUCCUGACACUGAGGCACGAAAGCCAGGGGAGCAAACAGG
Molecule: ribosomal RNA, 253 nt
Filed under: uncultured bacterium
Lineage: Bacteria
Description: partial 16S ribosomal RNA
Rfam family: Bacterial small subunit ribosomal RNA
Source: RNAcentral